UUAAGCAUAUUAAUAAGCGGAGGAAAAGAAACUAACAAGGAUUCCCUCAGUAACGGCGAGUGAAGCGGGAAGAGCUCAAAUUUGAAAUCUCCGGUGCUUGCAUCGGCGAGUUGUAGUUGCGAGAAGCACUUUCUAGGUGGAUCGGCGGUGCCUAAGUUGCUUGGAACAGCACGUCGCAGAGGGUGACAACCCCGUCUGUGGCGCCGCCGGCCGCUGACGAUGUGCUUUCGAAGAGUCGGGUUGUUUGGGAAUGCAGCCCAAAAUGGGUGGUAAACUCCAUCUAAAGCUAAAUACUGGCGUGAGACCGAUAGCGAACAAGUACCGUGAGGGAAAGAUGAAAAGAACUUUGAAAAGAGAGUUAAAAAGUACGUGAAACCGUCGGAAGGGAAACGAAUGGACUCAGCAAUGCGCCCUCUGAGAUUCAGCCGCGUGGGUGGCGUCGGCGCGGGGUUUGCGGAUCUGAAUGGACCGCGGCCCGGCGCUCGCUGCUCCCCGCCGUCGCACUUCUCUGGGGCGCGCGUCAACGUGGGUUGGGACUGGGUCUGAAAGGUGCCGGGAAGGUAGGUGUGGGCCUUCGGGUCCGUUCUGUUACAGCCCGGUUCUCUCAUGGCUCGGGCCCGACCGAGGAGCAGACAGGGCAUGCCUCCUGUGGCUAGGGUCCCGUCCUUCCGGCCGGCUGUCCAGUGUGGUGGACUGCUUGCAGUGCUCUGCGACGGCUGCCGGUCGUUGGGGUGGUGAUCUCGUACCAUGCCCUUGGGAUGUUGGCGG
This 768-nucleotide ribosomal RNA is filed under the name Dipsastraea speciosa. Its description in RNAcentral is "partial 28S ribosomal RNA". It matches the Rfam family "Eukaryotic large subunit ribosomal RNA", at positions 34 to 632 of the family's 3401-position model. The record is from RNAcentral. Lineage: Eukaryota; Metazoa; Cnidaria; Anthozoa; Scleractinia; Merulinidae.